GACGAACGCUGGCGGCGUGCCUAAUACAUGCAAGUCGAACGCAGUGGGGACGGGUGAGUAACACGUGGGUAACCUCCCAUCAGAGGGGAUAACACUUGGAAACAGGUGCUAAACCGAUACUGAUGGAUGGACCCGCGGUGCAUUAGCUAGUUGGUGAGGUAACGGCUCACCAAGGCCACGAUGCAUAGCCGCCCGAUGAGGGGAGUCGGCCACACGGGGAGUGUGACACGGCCCAGACUCCGACGGGAGGCAGCCGUAGGGAAUCUUCGGCAAAGGACUAAGGUCUGACCGAGCAACGCCGCGUGAGUGAAGAAGUUUUUCGGAUCGUAAAACUCUGUUGUUAAAGAAGCGGUAUCUAACCAGAAAGCCACGGCUAACUGCGUGCCAGCAGCCGCGGUAAUAC
This 403-nucleotide ribosomal RNA is filed under the name uncultured bacterium. Its description in RNAcentral is "partial 16S ribosomal RNA". It matches the Rfam family "Bacterial small subunit ribosomal RNA", at positions 28 to 526 of the family's 1533-position model. The record is from RNAcentral.